Molecule: long non-coding RNA, 3381 nt
Organism: Ctenopharyngodon idella (grass carp)
Lineage: Eukaryota; Metazoa; Chordata; Actinopteri; Cypriniformes; Xenocyprididae
Exons: 2
Source: RefSeq, a predicted model, not a curated record
GAGAGAAAGACAGAAUGUUACACUCCAUUUCUAAGCAACAGUAAAUUUGCUAAAUUAACUUUUUUAGCUGAUGAUAACAGUUCACUUAUUUGACUGAACCAUAUCACAUUGAAAUCACAGCCAGACUGACUUAAUGAGCACAUAACAGUCAACUUACAAAUGCCAAAUUUCAUUCUUUCCAAUAGUUCCUACAAAACAGUAUUUUACAUACUGUCUGUCAACAUACACUACCAUUCAAAAGCUUGGGGUCAGUAAUUUUUUUUUUUUUUAAAGAAAUUAAUACUUGCAUUCAGCAAGGAUGCAAUAAAUUCAUCAAAAGUGACAGUAAAGACAUAAGAUUUUAUUUAAAAUAAAUGCUGUUCUUUUGAACUCCAAUCAACAAAGAAACCUGAAAUCAAAUAUAUCAUGGUUUCCACAAAAAUAUUAAGCAGCAAAACUAUUAGAAUGAUUUCUGAAAAUUCAGCUUUGCCAUCACAGAAAAAAAAAAAAAAAAAAAAAAAAUUAAAAUAUAUAUUAAAAUAAAUAUAUAAUUAUACACAUGUAUACACAUGUAUGAGUAUGUGUGUGUUAAUACGUAGGUAUUAUUACGUAACAUUUACAGAUACAAAAUCUACUUUAAUAUAUUUUAAAAUGUAAUUUUUUCCUGUGAUGGCAAAGCUGAAUUUUUUAGAAAUCAUUCUAACAUCAUUAAUAUCAAUGUUAAAUGUUAGGGCUGUCAAUGGUAAUUCAUUCAUGUUAAUACAAUUAAUUCAAAAUCCUUACCACGCUUAAAUAAUUGAAUGCAAACAAUGCAUAUAAAUUACUGAAGCACGUGAAAUUGCGCAUUAAAGGGAUAGUUCACCCAAAAAUGAAAUUUUUGUCAUUUACUCACCCUCAAGUUGUUCCAAACCUGUAUGAAUUUCUUUCUUCUGCUGAACACAAAAGAAGAUAUUUUGAAGAAUAUGGGUAACCAAACAGUUGAUGGACCCCUCUUUGUGUUCAGCAGAAGAAAGAAAUUCAUUUAUCCUUUUUCACUAUCCCCAUCAACUAAUUUGGAGCAGACGUCACAGUUACGUCACUUGCAGCUGCACGCGCAUAGUGGUGGCAGAAAAAUAGCAGUAACAAGGAGGAAAAUGGGCAAAAUCCACAGAAUAAGAGAAAAAUGUUUUGUUGUGCCUUUGGACGUCAGAAUCAGAAUGCAAAAAAAUAUAGUCUUCAUUUUUAUAGAAUACCGUCGUUGAAGAUGCCCUUUUGAAGCUAAACCCAGACGUUUAUGUUUCAAGUCACAGACUGGACUUAUGAAACCUGCAAUGAUUAGUCUACUAUUAAAGCAUGAAUUUGAUGUAAACAGCAAGUCUAUAAUAUUCACGUAUGCAGUUCAUAGGGGACAUACAUACAUAGCAGUUACAGCAUGAAAUCUUUAAACCUAUAACAUUUUACAUAGAUAACUUUUAAACAUAACAUUUUUAUCUCACAAUUAUGACUUUAUUUCUUGCAUUUGUGUGUUUUUAUCUCCCAGUUCUGACUUUAUAACUCACAAUUGUGAAUUUAUAUCAAUUCUGACGGGGAAAAAGUCAGAAUUGCGAGAUAUAAACUUUAAGGAAAAAAGACAGAAUAACGAGUAUAUCUCACAAUUCUGUUUUUCCUUCUAUGAAUUGGGAGAAAUAAACUCGAAAUUAACUUUUUUUUUAUUCUUUUAUUCCAUGGCUUCCACAGACUGCUACUGCAGAACUGUCAUUUUCUGCCACCAGGUAGGCCCCGCCCACAAAAACGUCAUCGCUGUUUGCAAACACAAAAUAGGUCUAUAUACAUACAUACAUACAUACACACACACAAGCUGCAUCUUCCAGAGGUCGCAUUUAAAGGCUGCAUACAUCAUCAAGGAUGUCUUAUUUAAGAAAAGUAACCAUAAUAAAAUUGAUUGUUAUUCCUUGUGAGGUGUAAAAUACUGUAAUUUAUUUCUUUUCUUAAAUGAGAUCGCUUCGAUGACAUAUGCAGCCUUCAAAUGCGACCUCCAGAGGAUGCAGCCUUCGAAAUGAGAUGCAGCACAUCACACACCAGCCACUUCAACUGCUCGUUAACGCAAUGAUUUCUUAAAGGAACAGUUCACCCAAAAAUGAAAAUUCUAUCAUCAUUUACUCACCCUCAAGUUGUUCCAAAACUGUAUGAACUUCUUUGUUCUGCUGUACACAAAGGAAGAUAUUUGGAAGAAUGUCAGUAACCAAACAGAUCUCGCCCCCAUUUACUACUGUAUUAGGAAAAAUAAAUACUAUGGUAGUAAAUAGGGGCGAUAUCUGUUUGGUUAAUGACAUUCUUUCAAAUAUCUUCCUUUGUGUUCAGCAGGUUUAUUCAUACAGGUUUAGAACUACUUGAGAUUGAGUAAAUGACAGAAUUUUAGGGUGAACUAUCCCUUUAAGGAUCAUGUGACACUGAAGACUGUAGUAAUGAAGCUGAAAAUUCAGCUUUGCAUCACAGGAAUAAAUGACAUUAAAAUAUAUUAAAAUAGAAAACAGUUCUUUUAAUUUGUAGUAAUAUUUUGCAAUAUUACUGUUUUUACUGUAUUUUGAUUAUGUAAAUACAGCCUUGGUGAGCUUAAGAGACUUCUUUCAAAAACAUUAAAAAAAAACAAAAAAAAAAAAAAACAGUAAAACAUUAUUUUAAAUUGUAAUAGAAAUCUGACCAAUCCCAAACUUUUUAAUGGUAGUGUAUUUGUCAAUGUAUGUAAAAACAUUUACCUAAAAAUAUGGAUUCAUUUUCAUUGUGUAAUACAUGACUAAUAUGUAUAUUUUACAAACACUGUAGUAUAGGGUGUUGCCAACUUUUGUGACAUGGUGUCUUUUUUAUUUUAUUUUUUAAUAUAUAAUAGGUUUAGUAGUUUACUGCUUUGAUGUUGAGUCAUGUGGUGAUAACCCAAGAAUGCAUCUUUACCAGGGUGAAAAAUUAAACAUCAUUUUGCUUUGUCUGCCAGCCACUGUGGUGGGCAACCUGUAAGGCAUCUCAGAUUAUCCUUGAAUAAAAAAAGCUGUUGGUCUCUAAACAAAAAAGAUGCCUGAUUAUUUAAAGGGAUAGUUCAUCCAAAAAUUAAAAUUUGAGGUUUAUCUGCUUACCCCCAGGGCAUCCAAGAUGUAGGUGACUUUGUUUCUUCAGAAGAACACAAAUGAUGAAUGCGCUCUGACAACGGAAGUGAUCUCUCGCACUCACUGAAGUAUAAGAGAUCACUUCCAUCAUCAGAGCAUGUUUUCAGACCUCACACACCGGAUGCUCAAGGCAGUUGGACAUAGUGGUGUAUUAGAGGUAAAAAAUGAUAUAAAUACUGUUCGGUUUCUCGCACAAACCGAUCGUUUCGUGUCUUAGGACAUCAAUGUGUCGUCACGAGCCGCAGGGUUUAAUUUGGAUUUGUCU